This 1092-nucleotide long non-coding RNA is filed under the name Salvia miltiorrhiza (redroot sage). RNAcentral's name for it is "long non-coding RNA (SMIL_LNC005148)". Lineage: Eukaryota; Viridiplantae; Streptophyta; Magnoliopsida; Lamiales; Lamiaceae. The record is from RNAcentral.
UGACAGUUUAUUAAUUUUGAUAAUGUGAUAAUAUGAUAUGAUUAUAGAAGAUAAAUUAGUUGACCACUAGCUAGCUACUCGUAACAAAGACAUUUAAGACCCUUAUUUUAAUUUCUUCCAUCGAAAAAUGAAAAUUCGCUCAAUUAUAUGAAAGCGUCCAACGUCCAAAUACCAAGAACUGCCAAAAAUGAAACAAAUAAUUAAAUAAAUUAAUAACAUAAAAAAAGAAUGAUCAAAUCUUCAUUUCGUGUAGUGCUAAGAAUGAUAGCAAUAAUUCAAACAAAUCAACUCUAUAUCUUGUAUACAUGCUAUAAUAAUAAUCCAAAACAACUUUUUUUCCUAAUUUACAAACCACAAAAUAUAUAAUAUAAUAUCAACAUCAUCAUCUACACAUUAACUUCUACAUGAAAUAAAAACUUAAAAAAACAAUGAUGCUAAAAGAAAAGAAACACACUAAUCUCUCUGCAAAAAUUACUUUCUUAUCUAAACAUAACUAAAUCCAGCUGCGAGAUCAGUUGUGAAGAGGGUUCGGGCCUCCUGGAGUUUUUCGAUUCGAGACGCCGUAAAUCGAUUCAUCUUCUUUGUCUCUCGAUCUCGUCGGACUUUCCGCCGGCAAAUGCCAUGAAUACUUUGAAAGAAGUCUCGACGACGAAGAAGAAUUUUCAGCCGUUGAUUCCGCCGGGAAUUCGCGACAGUCGGAGAUGGCGAGGAAGAUGAUCAGAAUGAUCAGCAGAAAUGGGGUUUUGGGAGAAUGAUUUUUCAUAAUAUAUGAAAAAUGUUGAAGAAGAGAAAUGGUAGAGAUAUGUGAGAAAAUGUGUUGUUAUGGCACCAAGAAGCUUAAAUAAGUCAUCAUAUGAUCUUAUAUAAGUUGGAAUGACUAUAUUGGCCCCCAUGAUUGUGUGUGAAAUGGGUUCUUGAUUUUAAUUAGAGGCUUCCAAUUUGUAGCCAUUUCUGUUGACCAUCUUGUAGUUAUGACUUUUCUUGAAUAGUUUAAAUUUAAUUGAGUUGUUUAAGUUUGGUAUUUGGAAGUUGUAUAUCAUGUAUAAUUGGUUUAGUGUUUGAAGUCAAGAAAAAGAGUCACACACGAUAUUA